Long non-coding RNA from Vigna angularis (adzuki bean), 1782 nucleotides. RefSeq lists it as uncharacterized. The record is from RefSeq and is a predicted model, not a curated record. The transcript is spliced from 6 exons. Lineage: Eukaryota; Viridiplantae; Streptophyta; Magnoliopsida; Fabales; Fabaceae.
AAGGACCUACCCUCUCUCUUUCAAAGACAAAAACAGGGAUAUUGGGAGAAUGAAUCUGAAAAUGGCUUCACUUUUUCUAUCGAAAAAGAUCUCUUCUUCUGUUAAUUUUUCAGUGUUCGAUGUAAUUCAAACCAGUGGAUGUAAAGUGACGAAUUCAUUCAACAAUCUGGGGAAUGGCACUCAGAAUUUUGCUAACGCCAAAAUCAUGCUUACUGGAGGCUGCUGCUGCUGUUGUACCUCGUUUUACUUGCAUGGUACUGUUUCUCCCAAUCGGACGUCGACAAAAUCCCCUCCACUUCUAAAUCACCAUUCGCCAACAACACUUUUAGUUUCUCCAUAACCACUUUCCGUUGUAGACGACAAAGACAUUCCUGCAACGGAAUCUUCUUCCUCCACCGGAUCCAAAUUCGGUGACAUCUUUCACCAGGUCUCAAGUAUGUAUGAGGAACAGAAUCUUCAUAUGUUCUCACGAGCUGGUGCUGCAAUUCACUUAUGCUGAAGCUAUACGCUGGAUACAAAGAAAUUAAGGAUAAAAGUUAGAAACAAACCAAGUUCUCUUGGGUUUUAAUAGAUGAGGUUCUUUAGGAUUUGGGCCUUAAGUUCCAGGUUUUCGAAAGGUUCAAAAGAAGACAGUCCCCACAUGAAGACUAUAGGGUGGGGGGAUUUCUAAUUUUGAAUUGGAUUGCUCUCUCCUCAGACUCUCUGGAGCUGUUAUGUGCCAAUUAAAGUUUGAUCCUCAAGUAAAUUCAGUUUUUAAUGCUAAUGCUCAAUAUAUACAUUAAGUACUUUACCUGAAGCGAAAGUAUUGGACAAGGUGCCAUAGCAAAGUCAUUCAACAAUGAAAUGGACGGCACGCAAGACUUCUUCAAUGCAACAAUAAAAAUUGGAGGGUAUAGCUGUAGCUCAACAAGCGGAGUGAAAGUGGGUGUGAUAGCAAGCUCAUUCAACAACAAGGCUGACGGCAUCCAGAACUUCAGCAAUGCCACAAUCAUAGUCAUUACCGGCUGUUGUCGUGGUUCACUUGGUUUACAUGGUAUCGUAUUUUCCUGCUUCUUCUUAGAGCCCUUGUUGCACUGCUGCUGAUCCCAACCAGAGAUCAACAUCCACCAACAAUAUUGGAUUUCAUUCGAUCCAAUGCCGAGGUCAAUUAUCCUUCAAAGGGAACCUCCACUCGCCAAUACCACUCAUUCGUGAUUCUCCAUAAUCGCGUCUGCUACCAUUUCUUUGUCUUCUGCAAUGGCCACCCCACAAGAUCCGAUUUUCGCGAGAUCUUCGAAGCCAAAGCAUUGUAAACUCAUUCAACAAUGAAGGCAAUGGGGUACAGGACUUCAGCAAUUCAAUAAUCACAGUUGGAAGCUGUAGCUGUUCCUCGACUUCUGUGAGACUGAAGACUCAUCAAACCGGUUUGAUGAAACAAAAUAUUGAAACUUGAUAGAGGCCACAAUGUUUUCAAACAAGUUCUUGACUGAAGAACCCUUUGGAAAAAUGAAUAAAUAGCCAUUAGCCAAUAUGGUUAAUCUAAAUGUCUUGUAAAAGAAAGCUCGAUUGUUGGAAAGCUUUCAUGUUGAUUGCUGAUUGUCGAUUGCGUUUACGCACUCUAGAUGAACUUGAUAAUUGAGUGGUUCCUCAAAAGCAGGACCAAUUUGUAAUUUGAUCAUGUAAAUGCACAACCUUCUUUCACAUCAAGAUAGGAGGACUCAGCUGUUGAUUCCACUACUUAUUUGGUCUCAGCUUCGGCACUUCUAGUUCCAUUAAUAAAGGGUCUGGGUGGUUCUGCCACAA